RNAcentral lists this RNase P RNA (337 nucleotides) under Anaeroplasmataceae bacterium. RNAcentral's name for it is "RNase P RNA component class B". It matches the Rfam family "Bacterial RNase P class B". From Rfam's summary of the family: Ribonuclease P (RNase P) is a ubiquitous endoribonuclease, found in archaea, bacteria and eukarya as well as chloroplasts and mitochondria. The record is from RNAcentral. Lineage: Bacteria; Bacillati; Mycoplasmatota; Mollicutes; Anaeroplasmatales; Anaeroplasmataceae.
GUAGUUGGGUAACUGAGCCUUAUGGUUAGGAAAGUCCAUGCUAGCACAAUCUGAGAUGAUUGUAGUGUUUGUGCUUAGUGAAACAAUAAGCUAAGGCAUAGAAAUAUGACGGCGAAAGAAACCUAAGUCUUUUAAAGAUAUGGUGUAUUUCAUAAAGUGCCACAGAAACGAGUUCUAUAGAAAUAUAGAAAUGAAACGCUGGUAAACCCCACAAGCUAGAAACCCAAAUUUUGGUAGGGGAGCUUCAUUAGACGAAUAAGGAAGUCAAAAAGAAGGCAAAUUUUGCAGAUAAAUAGUUACCACCUAAAAUUUUAGGAACAGAACAUGGCUUAUAGAC